GACGAACGCUGGCGGCGUGCCUAAUACAUGCAAGUCGAACGCAUUUUCUUUCACCGUAGCUUGCUACACCGAAAGAAAAUGAGUGGCGAACGGGUGAGUAACACGUGGGUAACCUGCCCAUCAGCGGGGGAUAACACUUGGAAACAGGUGCUAAUACCGCAUAAUUCCAUUUACCGCAUGGUAAAUGGAUGAAAGGCGCUUUUGCGUCACUGAUGGAUGGUCCCGCGGUGCAUUAGCUAGUUGGUGGGGUAACGGCCUACCAAGGCUGCGAUGCAUAGCCGACCUGAGAGGGUGAUCGGCCACACUGGGACUGAGACACGGCCCAGACUCCUACGGGAGGCAGCAGUAGGGAAUCUUCGGCAAUGGACGCAAGUCUGACCGAGCAACGCCGCGUGAGUGAAGAAGGGUUUCGGAUCGUAAAACUCUGUUGUUAGAGAAGAACAAGGAUGAGAGUGGAAAGUUCAUCCCUUGACGGUAUCUAACCAGAAAGCCACGGCUAACUACGUG
RNAcentral lists this ribosomal RNA (507 nucleotides) under uncultured bacterium. Its description in RNAcentral is "partial 16S ribosomal RNA". It matches the Rfam family "Bacterial small subunit ribosomal RNA", at positions 28 to 507 of the family's 1533-position model. The record is from RNAcentral.